RNAcentral lists this ribosomal RNA (433 nucleotides) under uncultured bacterium. RNAcentral's name for it is "bacterial SSU rRNA". It matches the Rfam family "Bacterial small subunit ribosomal RNA", at positions 8 to 442 of the family's 1533-position model. The record is from RNAcentral.
AGAGUUUGAUCCUGGCUCAGGACGAACGCUGGCGGCGUGCUUAACACAUGCAAGUCGAGCGGUAAGGCCCUUUCGGGGGUACACGAGCGGCGAACGGGUGAGUAACACGUGGGUGACCUGCCCUUAGCUCUGGGAUAAGCCUGGGAAACUGGGUCUAAUACCGGAUAUGACUCCAUGACGCAUGUUGUGGGGUGGAAAGCCUUGUGCGGCUAGGGAUGGGCCCGCGGCCUAUCAGCUUGUUGGUGGGGUGAUGGCCUACCAAGGCGACGACGGGUAGCCGGCCUGAGAGGGCGACCGGCCACACUGGGACUGAGACACGGCCCAGACUCCUACGGGAGGCAGCAGUGGGGAAUCUUGCGCAAUGGGCGAAAGCCUGACGCAGCGACGCCGCGUGGGGGAUGACGGCCUUCGGGUUGUAAACCUCUUCAGCCCU